Molecule: long non-coding RNA, 785 nt
Organism: Oncorhynchus keta (chum salmon)
Lineage: Eukaryota; Metazoa; Chordata; Actinopteri; Salmoniformes; Salmonidae
Exons: 3
Source: RefSeq, a predicted model, not a curated record
UUUCAGCUCAUGAAACAUGGGACCAACACUUCACAUAUUACAUAUACAUAUAGUCUAUUACAUGUAUCCUAUACUGACUAGUCUAUUACAUGUAUCCUAUACUGACUAGUCUAUUACAUGUAUCCUAUACUGACUAGUCUAAUACAUGUAUCCUAUACUGACUAGUCUAAUACAUGUAUCCUAUACUGACUAGUCUAAUACAUGUAUCCUAUACUGACUAGUCUAUUACAUGUAUCCUAUACUGACUAGUCUAUUACAUGUAUCCUAUACUGACUAGUCUAAUACAUGUAUCCUAUACUGACUAGUCUAAUACAUGUAUCCUAUACUGACUAGUCUAUUACAUGUAUCCUAUACUGACUAGUCUAUUACAUGUAUCCUAUACUGACUAGUCUAUUACAUGUAUCCUAUACUGACUAGUCUAUUACAUGUAUCCUAUACUGACUAGUCUAAUACAUGUAUCCUAUACUGACUAGUCUAAUACAUGUAUCCUAUACUGACUAGUCUAUUACAUGUAUCCUAUACUGACUAGUCUAAUACAUGUAUCCUAUACUGACUAGUCUAAUACAUGUAUCCUAUACUGACUAGUCUAUUACAUGUAUCCUAUACUGACUAGUCUAUUACAUGUAUCCUAUACUGACUAGUCUAAUACAUGUAUCCUAUACUGACUAGUCUAAUACAUGUAUCCUAUACUGACUAGUCUAAUACAUGUAUCCUAUACUGACUAGUCUAUUACAUGUAUCCUAUACUGACUAGUCUAUUACAUGUAUCCUAUACUGACUAGUCUA